Molecule: long non-coding RNA, 500 nt
Organism: Rana temporaria (common frog)
Lineage: Eukaryota; Metazoa; Chordata; Amphibia; Anura; Ranidae
Exons: 2
Source: RefSeq, a predicted model, not a curated record
UUGACGUCAAACAAUUUUUUGGUAUUAGAAAACGUGCACUGUUAAAAUAUUUAAAGAAAAUGUUCAAAAUGCUUACUGUAUGCUAAAUAUCUCUAACCUUUGGUUUGUUUUCAGGAGGAAAAUAUAAUGUGUUUUGUUACUAAAAUUUUGAUGCUUAUUUCUCAGAUUAAGCCUUAUGCUCUGGAUUGAUUUGUUCAAGGUCUUCAGAACAGAAGAAAACCACAGCCUUCAAAGACAAUCCCCUUUUUGAGGAGUCGUAUUGCCUCUAGAACAUACAUUUACUUCAGCAGUAAAAGAAAACUCAAAAGGCUUUAUGGGAAUUUUUUUGUUAAUAAUCAUGUUUUGGGACUAACAAUCUCUGACACCAUCCCUCCACCAUCCCUCCUCAUGCCAUCAGUCACAAACACCAUUGAUGAAAAAGAGUGCUUUCAAAAAAACUUGUGUCUAAAGAACUUUGAUACCUACCAUGUCAGUAAAAAGGUAUUUUAUCGUGUGGAUUG